This 723-nucleotide ribosomal RNA is filed under the name Triticum aestivum (bread wheat). RNAcentral's name for it is "partial small subunit ribosomal RNA". Lineage: Eukaryota; Viridiplantae; Streptophyta; Magnoliopsida; Poales; Poaceae. The record is from RNAcentral.
AUGACCGGCGGCGUGAACGGCAACGGCGGAGGAGGAGGCGGCAACGGCGGGGCGUGCGCGGUGUGCAAGCACCAGCGGCGCAAGUGCGAGCCCAACUGCGAGCUGGCCGCCUACUUCCCGGCCAACAGGAUGAACGACUUCCGCGCGCUGCACCUCGUCUUCGGGGUGGCCAACCUCACCAAGCUCAUCAAGGCCAACGCCACCGAGGCGGCGCGGCGGCGCGCCGCCGAGACGCUGACGUGGGAGGCGCGGUGGCGCGAGCGCGACCCCUCCGAGGGGUGCUACCGCGAGGUCUCCUGCCUCCGCCGCGAGAACGCUGUGCUGCGCGCCGAGAACGCCGCGCUCAGGCGCCGGGCCAACCAGUGCGCGUGCUGCGCCACCACGUUGCAGCAGCAGCAGCAGCAGCAGAUACUGCUCGUCUCGGCUUACAACAACGGCGCCCGGCCCCCCGGCGGCGUGCUGCACGGCGCCAGCGCCGGGGUCGUGCCCGGCGGCUUCUACAGCGGCAAUGCCGGCGCCGUCCGUGCCGCCAAUGGCAACGGGGCGAUGCCCGCGCGGCCUCACGUGUCAGCUCCGGCGCCGCAGACGACGAUGGCCGGGUACGCGCAGGGGGAUCGCCACCACGCCGCGUCCGGCGGAGCGAACGGCACCGGCGCAGCUGGUCAGGCGGAGCCCAGGGAGAAGAGCAGCGCGAGGUGUGACGCUCAGCGCACAGCUAGCUAG